AGAGGUCAAGAGAGAUUCCCAUCACUUGGAAAGAGGGAGAGAGGGCUUUCGAGCCCUUCUUGUUUCGUUUCGAAUAGUGAUCCCCUAUUUGGAAACAAUUCGAAACAUGGGAUCCUUUAUUAUUUCUACCAUUUUUGAACUAAAGUUGGUAGAUAGUUUGUCAACUUGCUACAAUGAAGUCGGCAGAUGGUUUGUUAAUUUUAGUUCAAAAACAGCAAAAAAAAAAUAACAAUUCACCUUUGGAACAGCAUGAUACGGAUCCGUACUGUACUGUUCUAGCAACUGACCGAUACAGGUCCUGAUAUUAGUUCAACAAAACUUGCUUAGAACUUCUUGCUUGUGUUGAAAUCUGAAGUCAUAUCUUGUCUUUAGUUUGGUGUGAGGAUCCCCUUUUGAUAGCUCCCUCAAGUAUCUUUAAAGAAACUCCCUGGUAGCUUUGUUCAUGCAUACUAACUUUGGGUAGUUAAUUCUAGCAAUAACUACCCCUUAAUGGUGGUUUCUGUAUAUGAUAUCCUGGUAGUUAUCCUCAUCUAAUUUUUUUAGGCUGUGCUUUUCAAGAGAAACGUCUUAUAUGUAGCUUUAUUUGCAUCAAUGCCUCUUGUCAGUCUCUAAAAUGCGAUGUGACUGCUAGGUCAUCUAGACAAUCACUCAUAAAACCGUUUUUUAUUUCCUUUUUUCUUGUUAGUUAUC
Molecule: long non-coding RNA, 690 nt
Filed under: Phoenix dactylifera (date palm)
Lineage: Eukaryota; Viridiplantae; Streptophyta; Magnoliopsida; Arecales; Arecaceae
Description: long non-coding RNA (PDAC_LNC008731)
Source: RNAcentral